Molecule: non-coding RNA, 31 nt
Filed under: Homo sapiens (human)
Lineage: Eukaryota; Metazoa; Chordata; Mammalia; Primates; Hominidae
Source: RNAcentral
UCUGAACCUGUGAACCCUUGCUGUGUUACGA